Long non-coding RNA from Chroicocephalus ridibundus (black-headed gull), 5754 nucleotides. RefSeq lists it as uncharacterized. The record is from RefSeq and is a predicted model, not a curated record. Lineage: Eukaryota; Metazoa; Chordata; Aves; Charadriiformes; Laridae. The transcript has 4 exons.
AGGCAGAGUUCAGACAUAAAUGCACUGUAUGGAAAGGACAAGGACACAGUUGCGGAUAACAAAAGUAGCUGAAAAAGUUUAACUUUGGAAAAAGUUCUAUAUAAACAAGCGGGGAGGUACUGAGGAAAACGUUCCCUCUUCUUUUUUGAUGACAAGCAUUCUUACUUGUACUUGUACUUAAAUACAUUUGUAAACACAAGUCUCUCGUAGCACAAAGUCAAGAGAAAUACUGAAAGAAAAGUCUACCACGCAUCACACAGGCUGUACAGGAGACAGGAAAUCUGGGAAAUCUUCUUUAAUUAAUGAUGUAAAAAUACCAUUUCCAGUUCUGAUUUAUCCUAAAAUACCAGCCUUCAUCUGGCACCGAUGGAAGCCUAGAAUUUUGUCAGCCCAGAUCUCCUACCACAGCGUGUUUGUUGAGAACGCCAGUUUAGAUAGAAGGCCGUACUUGAGGAAGUUUUAGCAGAAGCUCCUUGGAACUGCUCAGGUUUUCAAGUAGUGCUGCAAGAAGACACACACUGGAGAAAGCACAGAUGAAGCAGACUAACCUGCAUAGGACCUCCUGACUGGAGAUGUCAGGCAUGAAAAGAGAAGAAUCCAAGAAAAAUUAGAGAAGACUGACCUUCCACCCUCAGGGAAAGAACUAAGAGCAUUGCCGCACGCUGCUUGAUUAAAGCGACUUCACCCAGAAGAAACCAGAAUUUGCGGAGUCUGACAACACAACUUUGGCAUAAAAACUUACUGCCUGUAAUGGGUGGGGUCUAGAAAUGACAUCAUAAAACUUUAAAGCCAUGCCAAAAGACAGAUCGAGGAAGUGCGAACAACACUGGCUAAAUUGCUCUGGACCGUCGCAGGGGGUGAAGCUGGUGGGGAAGGCAGGGGUGAAUGUGUAACUGCCCCAAAAGGGAAGGCAGUAAGCGAAGAGAGGCAGGACAGGAGCGGUAAGCAGAAGUUUACUUGUUCAUGCUCUCCUUUUCUCUGUGCAAGGAAGCUGCCAGAAGAACCAAGCUGCCAAAGAAUGGCAGAAGAACUGAGCACAGAGAAACAACAAAAAAUAGACAACUGCAUUAGCACAUGAACUGAAAACAGGGAAGAAAGGUCCAUUACUAGUCCAUCAAGUUUUUCGUUGGCCACAACAGACCACGUGUAACUGUCAGCUAUAAAUAAUGUCACUACACAGAUGAAUGGCAAGUAUUAUGGAGAGGUUUCCUUCUUGAUACACGUUUCAAGUCACCGUUCCACCAAGAUAGUGACUAGUUACUACCGAAACAAGCUAUGGAAUUUUAGCACUGGACACAGGAGUUGUAUGAAAUUAAGAGAUCAUUGUGGCAGCCUUGGAAACGUUCUUCCACAGCCCUUCAGGUGUCAGACACUGAACUGUUCGUCAAGCAAGCUCAGAGUACUUUGAGUGAAUUGCAAAGCCAUCUGUGGAUUUUAACCAGGCAUCGCUUUGCUGCUAUGAUGUUCCGAAAGCAUGCUAGAAGUUACUUGUCUUUAAAUCUUUGGAAUUACUGCCCUCACUUUACAAGAAACACCACAGAGGGAUCAUGGGACGAUGCUGAGCAAGAUUUUCAAAUGAAGAUAUUUCCUUCUCACUGAAAGCAAUUAACAGACUGGAAACGGUAAAACGGUACUUUCAAUAUAUUAAGGGUCACCUUAUCUUAUUUAAUCCCCAUUCCUAUUUCCCUUUUGCCUGUCUCUAAUGAUUAUCUCAAAAAAACGUAUUUUCCUGCCAAAACUGCAAGCUGUACAGGGGGGAAAGGCCUGGCUAGGUUGCGGAUUUAUGCAAAUACGUAUUAAGCGCUAUCAUCACUCCGCUUUCUGUCGUUCGACAAUUCUUACGUCUUGCAAUUUCUCCUGAGCAAAGAAAACUUUGCAGAGUAAACUUCUUUGUGACGCAUGCCAAAGUUUGCUUGGGCCCUACGCCUGUUGGUAUUCCUAUAUGUAUUCCUAAUAUUUAUCAAUAUUCCUAUAUUCCUAUAUGCAGAAUCAAAUUUUCUACCCCAGUAAAUCAAGAAAAACUCUGGUUUUUGGACCUCAGUGGGCUUCAAAAGUCAUGAGUCAACGACAGGUUUUGUUUGACUCGUUUGACUCCCUGAGCAAAGGAUCUAAUCCUAUGCCAGCUGCUAAACUCCCUCAAGUUGUAGGGUAAACUUGAUUUGAAGCUAACCAAUACACUAAUUAGCUGCUAUUUCUAAUAGCUUCACAAAAUGAAACUUGUUUUAAAUGUGACAGUGGUGUGAGAAAAUAAUCUGCUUUGAGUAGCAGAUACUCACCCCUGCUGACAGAAGUGGAAUGUAAAUGCCUGCAGCCUUAUGUUUGCACAGGCUCCUCACACUCACGCUCUCUCACACACGCGCGCACACACCAAGAUUAUUUUCAGGCUUGUGUGAUAGUUCGAGUGAAGUCAGUGGAAAGCCAUUUUUUAAAAAGAGAAAUCUGAGGGACCCAUGCAGCUUUGGCACAAAACAAUGCAAAUGCAGCAUGAAACUGCGCGUACUGAAGAGCGUAAUAUUGCAAAUUAACUUUUCCGGGAUUUGAGAUGCAGAUUGUUUAAAUACGGAAGACUCUGAAUAAUGCCGCUGUCUUAUUAACCCCAUGUAGAGAUGGAUUACUUCCUAAUUUUGUUUUGUUUUGUUUUAUUAUCAUCAUCAUCAGGCAAGGCUGCAUCUUACUUAUUUAGUUGCAAAGAAUGAAGACUUGAGUUUGGAGGAGAGCCGAUUUCUUACCAAAAAAAAAAAGAAAGAAAAAAAGUUAGUUGCUUCAGGCAACAGUCCCUUUGAUCUGCUCAUUAACACUUUUCAAAUGUUCGCGUGAUGUGGGCAUUAGGAAAUGUCAGCACCAGAGCCUGAAGCCAGCUUGAUGCGAUCAUAUGUUCCGAUAUUGAGGGAAGAGUGAAAGAACUGUCAACAGUGAACUGCCUUUAAAAAAAGGGGUGGGGGGAGGAAGAGAAGGAGAAAGGAGUCCCCCUGCCCCGGUCUGUAAGUGUGCACGGGCCUCAGCGCCAGGAACGCUGUCAGAGGGGGUCCCAGCGAGGACGGAGCGGAGUGCCCCAACCACCUGAAGCCCUGCCUGCAGGCAGUCGAGAUGAGGCGCUCGCGUGGCUCUGGAUGCUCAUUCCGCCCUGUCCACAACACCUUCUGCCCCUCUCUCUCUCUCAUAUGCUUCAUUCUGGAGGGCUGCUCCUUUCCUCCUUGCUCCUCUUCUUUGUCCCGUGAAACCAGGCGCUCCACUCGCCAGGAGCAGACUCAGCGGCAGGGACGAGGAGGUCCCAUAACGUGCCGCUCUCGUCAAGGACACUGGCACCACAGCCCAAAACCAGGCAGCCACAAGUGGCCAUAACGUGUACCGUGCGAACCUCGGGUGCGGGAGAGAGGGAAAAGAAUGGAGGCACAGUGUAAUGAUCUGGGGAAACGGGACAGCAAAACAAAAAGAAAGGAACAGCCAGAAUUUGGUAAUAGGUUCAGUGCAACGGUAAGUGGUUUGGGAACUCAGUAUCAUUGUAGCAGUGAGUCCUAAAUGUUAGAGGACUCCAUACUCCCUAUGUUUUCUUUUUAAAGAAAGAAAGAAUAUCCAUGAGAGGUGUGAGGAAACAACAGAGGGCACUAAUAUUUAAAGUGCCAUGGUUUUAUUGCUCCCAUAGAAGUCAGGCUGCUUUUUAGUGAAAACUUACCAAUCUGCAGCUCAAGACUUCCCUAGAAAUAGCCAAUCACUCCUGUACCAAACGCUGUCUCCAGCAAAGACGCUCAGGGUACGUUCCUAUCCCUUAGUAAACAUCAGGGAGGAACAGGCUUAAGCACGAGGUAAAUGAGAACCAAGGGGCAAUUUCUCGCAGCUCGGUGCAGCUGUUUGUGGAGACGUAGCUCCCAGACAGAACCCUGCCCUAAUGCCACCGUGCACCUUCGGCACUCCAGGUGAUAUCUUUGCUCUGCAAUUCAUUAUAGAGGGCAUCUGUUUUAGUUAAUCGGGUCCUGCCGUAGCUGUCCCUCCACAGCUCUGCACGGCGUGUUGAAGUACGCCUGUAAACUGAACUCCUUUCACUUAGAAGAGGCAUCCCAUGUGUAAACCCCAUGCUGAACAAAACCCCAUCCGCUUGGCAAACCACAAAAACUGCACGCGCGACUGAGUAUCAUGUCACCGACUGCGCUUCCAACUGGGAAAGACCGAUUCCGGGCUAAGGUAAAUUAGAGAUGCGUGGAUUACAUUCUGACAGUCAUAUUCAGCUGGUGACAAAAACCAGAGUUUUAGUGAGCUAACUCGUUCUGAGGGCUCUGACAAACUGAAGAAACAUUAGGUUUCCUGAUACCAGUCAACUCAAAAGGAAGUGUGUUUGUCUUGAAAAAAAAAAAAAACAAAAAAAACCAAACCAAACCGAAGAACUUGAGCAGUCACGAAAAGGACAAAAGAAAAUAAGCCGCUUUCAGAAAAGCAGCUCUUGAGAAAGGAUACGAUGAUCCCUCUCAACAACUAUGAACGAGUGGUGAAACGGCGCACUCCGAAGUCUGUAAUUAGCUGACAGGAGACACUGGAAAAAAAAGUCACUUGGCUUCACUUAAGGAUUUAAAUCUUAUUUUAUACGCGUAUUUUUAAAAUAACUAUACUUUGAAACACAAAAUAUUUGCUUUUUUACCCACAUAAGUGUGCUGCAAUGUUAUUUCCUUCAUGUCCUCCACCUCCCUCUCAGCCUGCCCCAGAUGGCAGCUCUACGUGAAAUGCCGAGCUGGAGCCGCCUUCUCCGGACAGAAAGUGUAGACACUAAGAAGUGGGAAGACGGUCUAUGAACCAAGGUUAGCCAAUUAUUUUAAAAUGAGAAAAUAGGAAGCUUUUCCUUUUCCACAGGAAGGCUCCCGAUAUAAAAUCAAGUUGAAGUAAAAUGGCUAACAGACAACCUCCCUGGAUUUCUGAUGGCACUGUCCUGUGCAGAAUGAGGCAGAAGAGAGAGUUUUUGUCAGAGGAGAACUCGUAGGUCUUGCCUCAGAAACCCCAGCCCACGAGGAUGCAGAUGGUGGCUGAGGACCUGUUGCCCUAGGGCAGCCUGGGGCCUGAAGGACUACGGAAACGCUUUUGGUUCCGUGGCUUCGGCAUGGACAGGCGAGAAGGGCAGUUCCUCUGCUGCCCAGGUCCCACAGGCCCAAGAGAAGACGAGGAAUACAGUAACAGCCUGGAAGCGACCUCCACUUCCCAACUCCUCAGCGCUGUCGUGGAACUGGAUGAAUAACAACCGUCACCGAUUUAAAAACCCCAACACGCAAGGAGAUGGAGGAGCGUUAGUGAAACAGCACUGCUGACUGCUGCCAGAAGGAUAAAGAGGGCACUCGGAUGAAAAGAGAUACAAUGGGUCCAAGGGAUUAUUACGACACUAAGGGAUUUCCAACUUGAGAGCCCAUAAUGGACUACAAAUACCAAUUUUAGUGACAGUACUUUUAAAAUAGUCCUUCAUCUCAGGAUAACAUCUGCAUACUAUUACGGCCAACAACUUGCAAAUAAUAGAGAAGGCUUUUAUCAAAGAUAUCACAGAAAUAUAACACGUGCUCGCUCAGCAGCCAGACGCACUGCUAAGAGCACAGUCCACGGUGUUGAAGCUGGUCUUGUCUUCCAUUUAUUGCGUAUCACGAAUGAAAGAAAACUCCCUCUACAGACGGCUUACGUCGCAUGUAGCACUGCUGUUACUUAACCCAUUUCCUACGGUAUCCGUGUUUCCCAGCACGGUCUAUAAUCGUGAGUCACACACUCAAUGACUUUUUCCAGUAAGUC